This 253-nucleotide ribosomal RNA is filed under the name uncultured bacterium. RNAcentral describes it as "partial 16S ribosomal RNA". It matches the Rfam family "Archaeal small subunit ribosomal RNA", at positions 474 to 727 of the family's 1478-position model. The record is from RNAcentral.
UACCAGCACCCCGAGUGGUCGGGACGUUUAUUGGGCCUAAAGCAUCCGUAGCCGGUCCUGCAAGUCUUCCGUUAAAUCCAGCUGCUCAACAGAUGGGCUGCGGGGGAUACUACAGGGCUAGGAGGCGGGAGAGGCAAGCGGUACUUUAUGGGUAGGGGUAAAAUCCGUUGAUCCAUAGAAGACCACCAGUGGCGAAGGCGGCUUGCCAGAACGCGCUCGACGGUGAGGGAUGAAAGCUGGGGGAGCAAACCGG